CGGCGGACGGGUGAGUAACGCGUGGGCAACCUGCCCCAUACGGGGGGAUAACAGUUAGAAAUGACUGCUAAUACCGCAUAAGACCGCGGUGCCGCAUGGCACAGCGGUAAAAACUCCGGUGGUAUGGGAUGGGCCCGCGUCUGAUUAGCUAGUUGGCGGGGUAACGGCCCACCAAGGCGACGAUCAGUAGCCGACCUGAGAGGGCGACCGGCCACAUUGGGACUGAGACACGGCCCAAACUCCUACGGGAGGCAGCAG
RNAcentral lists this ribosomal RNA (258 nucleotides) under uncultured bacterium. Its description in RNAcentral is "partial 16S ribosomal RNA". It matches the Rfam family "Bacterial small subunit ribosomal RNA", at positions 96 to 354 of the family's 1533-position model. The record is from RNAcentral.